GACGAACGCUGGCGGCGUGCCUAAUACAUGCAAGUAGAACGCACAGUUUAUACCGUAGCUUGCUACACCAUAGACUGUGAGUUGCGAACGGGUGAGUAACGCGUAGGUAACCUGCCUGGUAGCGGGGGAUAACUAUUGGAAACGAUAGCUAAUACCGCAUAAUAUUAAUUAUUGCAUGAUAAUUAAUUGAAAGGUGCAAUUGCACCACUACCAGAUGGACCUGCGUUGUAUUAGCUAGUAGGGGAGGUAACGGCUCACCUAGGCGACGGUACAUAGCCGACCUGGGAGGGGGAACGGCCACACUGGGACUGAGACACGGCCCAGGCUCCUACGGGAGGCAGCAGGAGGGGAACUUUGGGAAUGGACGAAAGUCUGACCGGGCAACGCCGCGGGGGGGAAGAAGGUUUUCGGAUCGUAAAGAUCUGUUGUAAGGGAAGAACGGGAGUGAGAGUGGAAAGUUCACACUGUGACGGUAUCUAACCAGAAAGGGACGGCUAACUACGUG
RNAcentral lists this ribosomal RNA (505 nucleotides) under uncultured bacterium. RNAcentral describes it as "partial 16S ribosomal RNA". It matches the Rfam family "Bacterial small subunit ribosomal RNA", at positions 28 to 507 of the family's 1533-position model. The record is from RNAcentral.